Molecule: ribosomal RNA, 114 nt
Filed under: Acanthosepion pharaonis
Lineage: Eukaryota; Metazoa; Mollusca; Cephalopoda; Sepiida; Sepiidae
Source: RNAcentral
UUACGACCAUGUCAAAUUGAAACACUGGUUCCCAUAGAACCACUGGAGUUAAGCAACAUUGAGCUUGGUCAGUACCUAGAUGGGUGACAGCUUGGGAAUACCAGGUGCUGUAUG